This 150-nucleotide small RNA is filed under the name Olea europaea subsp. europaea. The record is from RNAcentral. Lineage: Eukaryota; Viridiplantae; Streptophyta; Magnoliopsida; Lamiales; Oleaceae.
AUCUACAGGGUCUUGCUGAUGGUUCUCAUCUUCUUAACUUCAAUAUGGACCAAACACCUCUGUGUAUCUGCUUUCUGGGUGCUCCCCAUCUUCGGAAAAUAGUUUUUUAUUUGAAAAUGAUUUUUCAUGGCAUUUUUUCUAGUGAAACUG